Molecule: non-coding RNA, 9315 nt
Organism: Salmo salar (Atlantic salmon)
Lineage: Eukaryota; Metazoa; Chordata; Actinopteri; Salmoniformes; Salmonidae
Source: RefSeq, a predicted model, not a curated record
CAUUACUCCAACGUGUAGAGAUGUGAUUGUGAAUGCGGUAGAGUCGACAGGACUCUUUACUGUAUUAGUUGGUCAUCACUGGGGAGAUUUAGCUAGCUACACAUACGGGGAUUGCUAAACCUGAAUCAUGCACAUCGUCAUUACAUCUAACUGGGAGUGGAGCAGAAAUUGUGCAAGAUAUGGAUAGGAGUUUUCUUUGGUUCUAGAGAUUGCGCGGUUGUUGCUCCGAGUCAAGUUUCCAGCAAGUCCCAUAUUCCAUAAUGCUUCACGAGGACUCGACUCAUUGGAACCAUGUGGACAUUUCCUCACGUGUGUUUCAUGUUGAAGCGGUGAUGCUGGGAUAAAAAGGGAAAAUUAGCAAACAACAAGCAUUGGUGCAUAUCUGUUUUGUUUGUUUGUCGUAGACUUUCUGUGAUUUCUGAAGUCGAGGAGGAAGGUGUGGACGAUAGUUGUGAUCCAGCUAAAAUAAGUCAGAAACAUGGGGAACGCAGGGAGUAUGGACCAACAAACUGAUUUCAGGGGACAUAACAUGCCUUUGAAACUGCCUAUGCCGGAGCCAGGUGAAUUGGAGGAGAGAUUCGCAAUCGUUUUGAAUUCGAUGAACCUUCCCCCGGACAAAGCGCGACUACUGCGGCAGUACGACAACGAGAAGAAGUGGGAGCUCAUCUGUGAUCAGGAACGAUUCCAAGUGAAGAACCCACCUCACACAUACAUCCAGAAGCUGAGGGGCUAUCUGGACCCGGCCGUCACCAGGAAGAAAUUCCGACGGAGAGUGCAGGAGUCCACCCAAGUCCUGAGAGAACUGGAAAUUUCGUUAAGGACAAAUCACAUAGGGUGGGUGAGAGAAUUCCUCAACGAAGAAAACAAAGGCCUAGAUGUGCUGGUGGAGUAUCUUUCCUUUGCGCAGUACGCUGUCACGUUUGAUGGCGACAGCGUGGAGAACAACCCGGAGAAGUUGGUGGACAAGCCCUGGAGCAGAUCCAUAGAGGACCUGCACGGGGGGAGUAACUUCCCGUCCCCCGUCAACGGGAACAGCAUCUCCCGCGCCGGGCGACACUCCACGCUACGGACACCAAGCUCUUUAAAAUGCCCAAAGUGUUCUCAAGGACGAUGUUGCAACACGUUGCCGAGCCGGAGAACUCUGAAGAACUCCCGGCUUGUCUGUAAGAAGGAUGACGUCCACGUCUGCAUCAUGUGCCUGCGAGCCAUCAUGAACUACCAGUACGGCUUCAACAUGGUGAUGUCCCACCCGCAUGCUGUGAAUGAAAUUGCACUAAGUCUCAACAAUAAAAAUCCCAGAACCAAAGCUCUGGUGUUGGAGUUACUGGCCGCCGUGUGUCUCGUCAGGGGAGGACACGAAAUCAUCCUCUCUGCGUUCGACAACUUCAAGGAGGUGUGUGCUGAGACACAGAGGUUCGAGAAGCUAAUGGAACACUUCAAGGACAUGGAUAACAACAUUGACUUUAUGGUGGCAUGUAUGCAGUUCAUCAACAUCGUGGUCCACUCGGUAGAGGACAUGAACUUCCGGGUUCACCUGCAGUACAACUUCACCAAGCUCUGUCUGGACGACUACCUGGAUAAGCUGAAGCACACAGAGAGUGACAAGCUGCAGGUGCAGAUCCAGGCCUACCUGGACAACGUGUUUGACGUGGGCGCCCUGCUGGAGGACGCCGAGACCAAGAACGCCGCGCUGGAGCGCGUGGAGGAGCUAGAGGAGAACAUGUCGCAUAUGACGGAGAAGCUGCAGGACACGGAGAACGAGGCCAUGUCCAAGAUCGUGGAGCUGGAGAAACAGCUGAUGACGCGCAACAAGGAGCUCGACGCUGUCCGGGAGGUGUACAAGGACGCCAACUCGCAGGUGCACACGCUGCGGCGGAUGGUGAAAGAGAAGGACGAGGCCAUCCAGAGGCAGUGCAACCUGGAGAAGAAGAUCCACGAGCUGGAGAAGCAGGGCACCAUGAAGAUCCAGAAGAAGGGCGACGGGGACAUCUCCAUCCUAACCUCGUCGCCCGCCCCCGGGGGCCCACUGGUGGCCGGAUUUGAGGGUGUACCAGGGGGCUAUAACGGGGGUGCGGUCAGCCCGAUGGGGUCGAAUGGGAUCCCGGGGAUGCCCGCGCCGCCCCCUCCUCCUCCCCCACCGCCUGUGCCUGGGACUGUGCCAAAUGGGCCAUUGGCUGGCCUCGCCGCUCCUCCCCCUCCCCCGCCGCCCCCUCCUCCCCCUGGCCCUAUGGCGGUGUCUGCCCCCCCACCCCCGCCUCCACCCCCCAUGGCCCCACCGCUGCCCGGCUGUGGAUCCCCCACUGUCAUCUUCAACUCAGGGUUAGCAGAGGGACCCAUCAAACUGUUCUCCGUGAAGAUUAAGAAGCCCAUCAAGACCAAGUUCCGUUUGCCGGUGUUCAACUGGGUGGCGCUGAAGCCCAACCAAAUCAACGGCACUGUGUUCAACGAGAUCGACGACGAGAGGAUACUGGAGGACCUGAACGUGGAUGAGUUUGAGGAGAUGUUCAAGACGAAAGCCCAGGGCCCGGCCAUCGACUUGGCCGUGAGCAAGACCAAGAUCAUCCAGAAGGGUCCCAACAAGGUGGCGCUGCUGGACGCCAACCGGGCCAAGAACAUGGCCAUCACCCUGAGGAAAGUGGGCAAGGCCCCCGAGGAGAUCUGCAAGGCCAUUCAGCUGUUUGACCUGCGCACCCUGUCGGUGGACUACGUGGAGUGUCUGAUGCGCUUCCUGCCCACGGAGAACGAGGUGAAGAUCAUGCGUCAGUACGAGAAGGAGCGGAAGCCCGUGGAGGCUCUGACGGACGAGGACCGCUUCAUGAUGCACUUCAGCAAGAUCGAGCGGCUCAUGCAGAAGAUGACCAUCAUGGCCUUCAUAGGCAACUUCUGCGAGAGCGUUCAGAUGCUGACGCCGCAACUUCAUGCGAUCAUCGCGGCGUCUGUGUCAAUAAAAUCCUCACAGAAACUCAAGAAAAUUCUAGAGAUUAUCUUGGCUCUCGGAAACUACAUGAACAGCAGUAAAAGGGGAGCGGUAUACGGUUUUAAACUACAAAGUUUAGAUUUGCUACUAGACACCAAGUCGACAGACCGGAAAAUGACACUGCUUCACUACAUAGCCAACGUGGUGAAGGAGAAAUACCAGCAAGUCAAUCUGUUCUACAACGAACUGCAUUAUGUGGAGAAGGCUGCAGCAGUGUCGUUAGAGAACGUUCUGCUGGAUGUGAAGGAGCUCCAGCGGGGAAUGGACCUGACUAAGAGAGAGUACAGCAUGCACGGUCACAACACUAUGCUCAAAGACUUCAUCACACACAACGAGGGCAAGCUGAAAAAGCUGCAGGACGACGCCAAGAUCGCACAGGAUGCCUUCGACGAGGCGGUCAAAUUCUUCGGCGAGAAUUCCAAAACGACUCCCCCGUCUGUGUUCUUCCCGGUGUUUGUGCGCUUCGUCAAGGCCUACAGGCAAGCGGAGGAGGACAACGAGCAGAAGAAGAGAGCGGAGCAGAUGAUGAUGGAGAAACUUCUGGAACAGGAGGCCAUGAUGGACCAGGAGGACAAGAAGUCUCCGUCCCAUAAGAACGCCAGGGGCAGGAGUCAGCAGCAGGAGGUGAUAGCUGAGCUGAGGAAGAAGCAGGUGAAGGAUACGGGCAGCCGCCACGUCUACGAGGGCAAGGACGGAGCCAUCGAGGACAUCAUCACCGUGCUGAAGACAGUGCCCUUUACCGCCCGCACAGCCAAACGGGGCUCUCGGUUCUUCUGCGAGCCGGCUCACAAUGAGGAGAGCCAUUACUAAAGCUUAGAACUCUCUCUCUGAAAGGUCGCUGUAAAUACACUUGCUCUUCUUUCUUCCCUACCUCUCUCUUUCGCCGUACUCUCACUGUGUGUCCUGUGUUCCUUCUUCACUCGCUCACUCUGUGGGUGUGUCACUUUCAGUCACGUGUGUGUUUCUUUGUGUGUGUGUGUGUGUGGGGGGGGGUGUCUGUCUCCACCCCUCCUAUGAGGGGAGCAUGAGGAGGGAGGGGUUUUGUGGGAGGGGGUCGCUGAUGUCAGCUCCGUUACCCUGCAUGAAGCAUGUCAUCCCUGUUAUAUACUUUCUCGUCCGUUUGUAUCAUCACCCAUAGCAAACCAUAAUGUCACAGACAUUUUCCUGUCGGUCAGUCAGGCCAUUGAUAUUUGAGAAGGGGGAGAUGGGUAAGAAACCAUCUCUCUUUAUCUGUAUUAGUAAUACAUACACUGAGUGUCCAAAACAUUAUGAACACCUGCUCUUUCCAUGACAUAGACCAUAGACUGACCAGGUGAAUCCAGGUGAAUGAUCCCUUAUUGAUGUCACUUGUUAAAUCCACUUCAAUCAGUAUAGAUAAAGGGGAGGAGACAGGUUAAAGAAGGAUUUUUAAUCAUUGAGACAAUUGACAUGAGUUGUGUAUGUGUAUUAUUCAGAGGGUGAAUGGGCAAGACAAAAUAUUUAAGUGCCUCUGAACGGGGUAUGGUAGUAGGUGCCAGGCGCACCGGUUUGUGUCAGGAACUGCAACGCUGCUGGGUUUUUCCUGCUGAACCGUUUCCUGUAUGUAUCAAGAAUGGUCCACCACCCAAAAGACAUCCAGAUAACUUGACACAACAGUGGGAAGCAUUGGAGUCAACAUGGGGCCAGCAUCCCUGUGGAACGCUUUUCGACACCUUGUAGAGUCCAUGCCCCGAUAGGACGGGACGGGGUGCAUCUCAACAGUAGGAAGGUGUUCUUCGUGUUUUGUACACUCAGUGUAUAUCAAUCAGACAGCAUGGUAAGUGCCCUCUGCUGUUAAAAUAGCUGAAGUGCUUCCUAGGCCGUAGCCCAACGGAUUGUCACUGACUAGCAUCCAAGACGUUUAUAUUGCAUGACAUAUGUUAUGUUGACUAGUAUUCAUGCCAGUAGUUAUGUGGUGUAGCGUAUUGUAGUUCUGCUUCAGUAGAUGAAGUUAGUAUAGUUAGUAUUGUCAACAUAGCAGAGUACCCUAUAAUUCUAAAAUAAUUCUAUAAUGUAAUGUAAGUGAGGAUGUGUUGAUCUUGACUCAUUUUAAAAUGGCUGUGGCAUUAUACCUUGCUUGUGUGUCCAUCUGUCUUAUCAUGAAAACUGAGUGUUGUCGUCAUCAUGUAUUACUGCUGCUGUUUGGGUCUCUGCAUGCCACUGGCUUUCUCCUGCUUCAGACCCAAAAUGUCCCCUGUUCCCAGAUCCCCUAUCUCUGAUCCAGGGUGUUACAUCUGUCUUGCUGAUGCUGAGCCUAGAAGCUACACGUAGCGCUCUGGACCAGAGCUACAGCCCCCCCCCCCCUCCCCCACCCCACCUUGUGCUUGGCUCAGUUGCCUGGUGAUGGAGGACAAUCUGAUCACAUGACUUUCUGUGGUCUGCCAGGGCACCUUUCUAACAUAUUGCAUGAAGUUUUAUUUUCUGACACGUGUUCUCGGUCUAGGAUGUCACGUGUCCUUUGUGUGCCACUAACCUACAGCCAGAUACAUGAAUUAAUGUUUAGCGAUUUCAAGGGAAAAGCCUCAGUAUUUCCGUACAGUUUCAUUUGCAUCCCAUCCCCAUGUACCUGGCUGAAUGCAUGCUGUUCUUUGGUUUUUGGUCCAUGUUCUAUUCAAUAUUAACUUUUUUCUUGUAUGUUGAAUUUUUUUUUGGGGGGGGGUUCAUGAUAACUAUUGCAAAGUUUGAUGCUUAGCUCUAUUUUGUCAUGCUGGUAGUCAUUCUGCAAAGCAGCAUGGGUUUUGAGACACAGAAAAACAAAUGCUUUGGUUUGUUCUCCCUUUGUGCCUGCAGAAUCAGUUAACAACCUAUCUUAGCUUUGGCCCUCCUAACACAUCUAGUCCUGUCUUAUUCUGUCCCCUGCUCCCCUAUUGGCUGCUUUGCUCGCUCAGCGCUCCCACCGCUGCAAGGACACUGUGAAAACACUGGAGUGACCCCUCUGGUCACCCUGCUUCUUUAACCUCCAUUUUGUCUUCUCUUCAUCCAUCCAGCCCUAAAGAAGAAUAAUAUUACUAAAUUUCCCAAUGUCCACUCAAGGAUCUUCGCAAUCAGCCUUACAGGCGAGCCGACGCGGUGAGGAGGAGCGUCAGGAGACGCUUCGACGACCAGAACUUGCGGCCGGUCAACAACUCUGAAGUCGUAAUUUGACGAGGGAGAAGUGCAUGUGUUAGGGGCGGAGGGUGAGGAGGGGGGAGUGAUGUGGAAAGUGUAGCAGCCUCUCACUCUUAAGGACUGAAGGAGAGAUGGAUGGGUCUGACAGGUCAGUUAUAGGGAACCUUAGACAAGCCAAGUGCCUAAAACUUACUUGUGAUCAGUUGUUUUGCCUCCUGUUUGUGUGUCUUGUGAUUUUUUUAUUACUUCAAGCAAUACAACUUGACCUGGCUUUAAUUGUAUUUUCCUUUGAUAUGUAAAACUGGACACAGACGUCUGUAGCAGGGAUUCCUGAAAGAAGUGUAGAAUGUAACGGGUCACGGUUCCCUUAGCUGUCGAAAGGUAUUCCGCCACAGGGGAUGAAUAUGGUAUUUCAUAGCUAGUAUGUUAUUACAUUCCUGGUGCUACUGCCAUCACUCUUAGAAAUUACACAAUGUGCUCGAGUGGCACUCUAAAGAACGCAUUAGCUUUUCCAUUGUUACUAAAGGGCUAAUGUACGUCUUAAAGGGGACAUACACUAUAUAUACAAAAGUAUGUGGACACCCCUUAAAAUCUGUGGAUUCGGCUGUUUCAACCACACCCGUUACUGACAGGUGUAUAAAAUCAAGCAGGCAGCCAUGCAAUCUCCAUAGACAAACAGUAGAAUGGCCUUACUGAAGGGCUCAGUGACUUUUAACGUGGAACCAUCAUAGGAUGCCCCCUUUCCAUUGAGUCAGUUCGUCAAAUUUAUGCUCUGCUAGAGCUGGCCUGGUCGACUGUAGGUGCUGUUACUGUGAAGUGGAAACGUCUAGGAGCAACAACAGCUUAGCCGCGAAGUGGUAGGCCACACAAGCUUGAAGAACGGAACUGCCGAGUCCUGAAGGCAUAAGUCAUUGUAAAUAACAAUUUGUUCUUAACCGACUUGCCAAGUUAAAGGUUAAAGUCUGUCCUCGGUUGCAACACUCACUAGAGUUCCAAACUGCCUCUGGAAGCAACGUCAGCACAAUAACUGUUUGUCGGGAGCUUCAUGAAAUGGGUUUCCAUGGCCGAGCAGCUGCACACAACCCUAAGAUCACCAUGCGCAAUGCCAAGUGUCGGCUGGACUGGUGUAAAGCUCGCUGUCGUUGGUCUGGAGCAGUUGAAACGCUUUCUCUGGAGUGAUGAAUCACGCUUCACCAUCUGGCAGUCCGACGGACAAAUCUGGGUUUGGCGGAUGCCAGGAGAACGCUACUUGCACCAAUGCAUAGGGCCAACUGUAAAGUUUGGUAGAGGAGGAAUAAUGGUCUGUGGCUGUUUUUCAUGGUUCAGGCUAGGCCCCUUUAGUUCCAGUAAAGGGAAAUCUUAACGCUUCAGCAUACAAUGACAUUCUAGAUGAUUCUGUGCUUCUAACUGUGGCAACAGUUUGGGGAAGGCCAUUUCCUGUUUCAGCAUGACAAUGCCCCCAUGCACAAAGGGAGGUCUAUACAGAAAUAGUUUGUCAAGAUCGGUGUGGAAAAACUUGACUAGCUUGCACAGAACACCUGAACUCAAUCCCAUCGAACAGCUUUGGGAUGAAUUGGAACGAUGACUGCGAGCCAAUCACCCAACAUCAGUGUCCGACCUGGCUGAAUGGAAGCAAGUCCCCCCAGCAAUGUUCCAACAUCUAGUGGAAAGCCUUCCCAGAAGAGUGGAGGCUGUUAUAGCAGCAAAGGGGGGACCAACUCCAUAUUAAUGCCCAUGAUUUUGGAAUGAGAUGUUUGACGAGCAGGUGUCCACAUACUUUUGGUCAUGUAGUGUACAUGUCUUACUUUAGUAUAUUAUAAAGCAGUGAUCCAAAACAAAUAUGUUCAAAGAAAGUACUUAAGCAAGUAUGAGGUAGACAUAUGUACACCAAUGUAUGACCACAGAGAAAUCAUAUCAAAGACAAUAUAGCUCAGAGAGGUGUGGCUCUCUCAAGACGAGACCAGGCUAAUGUGAAUUGUAAAUAGCUAGGCCUCCAUAUUACGGUUAUGACGGUAUUAACAUCUCAUUUAUCAGUGUUAACAUGGUUAGUGGACCAAGCCGUGAAUAGAUAGAACUAUAUUAUCUCCUCAUGUAGACCUCAAGCGCCAUUCACAUGCAAUGCUGUUAGUGGUUGGUGGGGCCCUGGAGCCACAAUAGCUCUGGUCCAGGUCGUUGUUUGGUCGUACGAUUGUGCGAGCACAGCCGAACUAGACCAGAGCGAGAGACACAAUUGACUCAGAGCGAAUAGGAAAGGCGCUGAAAGAAGAACUUCUCAGCAGAUAUACUUCCAGUGAAGUGUAGUGGCUGCAAGUAAGGCACUUUAGGCUACUUGAGGAGCUUGUCAUGAAAACUGGAUUCCAAGAUUCUUUUUACUCUGAAAACUGCUAUCGGCUAAUGAAUCUUGUCUACUCACUAUUAUAAGUUUAAUGUAUAGUAUUUAACCACUGAAAACUGUUUCCAUUCAGUAUCGCUCAUGUGACCCACUUUGACAAUGAGCGGCAGUUGUUUUUGAUAGUGUUUAGGUAUGUUAAAAACAUGUCAGAAGAGACAACAAAAAGGUUUUGAAAUGUACAGAUAUUUUGAUAAAUUUAUGCAUUGUUUUAUACUUCUUAAUCUACUCAUUACCAUAUAAGGUUAAUAUUGUACAUAUUGUUUAAAACACCAUGUCAUAUACAAUUUGUUAUUUUAACGUAUCUUUUGGUCCAUUUUGUAUAUUUAAUUUAAGACAAACACAAAUCUGGCUUCUCUUUAACAUAAAAUAAUCAAGUGUGUGAAACAGGAUGCCCUGGUGUCACACUUGCCCGACAGUAAAGAGUUAUUUGAUCAGUGUCUGUCACUAAUGGCACCCUAUUCCCUGUAUAGUGCACUUCUUUUGGUCAUGUCACUAAUGGCACCCUAUUCCCUAUAUAGUGUACUUCUUUUGGCCAGAGCACAAGAGGAACUGGACAAAAGUAGCGCUCUAUAGGUAACCCAUUGACGUUCAGAGAAGCUUCCUGUGGUCUUGGGACUGUAAAUGUCCACAUUAUAGCAUGUGCAACAAACCACUCAUCUCUAGAUUUCCUGUGAACUUAACCACUCAUCGGCUUCGUAAGACUGGAUAAUACUGGCAUGUUAUUAAUUUAAUGUUUUUUUUAGGCAAUACGUGCUUAUUACAAAAUACUUUUGUUAGAUUGAGUUCAAUGGAUAUGAUCAAAUAAACUGUUUACACUGUG